GUGGGGAAUCUUCCGCAAUGGACGAAAGUCUGACGGAGCAACGCCGCGUGAGUGAUGAAGGUCUUCGGAUUGUAAAGCUCUGUUAAUCGGGACGAAAGAGCCUAGUGUGAAUAAUGCUAGGAAGUGACGGUACCGGAAUAGAAAGCCACGGCUAACUACGUGCCAGCAGCCGCGGUAAUACGUAGGUGGCAAGCGUUGUCAGGAAUUAGUGGGCGUAAAGCGCGCGAAGGCGGAUCUGCCAGUCUGUCUUAAAAGUUCGGGGCUUAACCCCGUGAUGGGAUGGAAACUACAGAGCUAGAGUAUCGGAGAGGAAAGUGGAAUUCCUAGUGUAGCGGUGAAAUGCGUAGAUAUUAGGAAGAACACCAGUGGCGAAGGCGACUUUCUGGACGAAAACUGACGCUGAGGCGCGAAAGCCAGGGGAGCGAACGGGAUUAGAUACCCCUGUAGUCC
RNAcentral lists this ribosomal RNA (450 nucleotides) under uncultured bacterium. RNAcentral describes it as "partial 16S ribosomal RNA". It matches the Rfam family "Bacterial small subunit ribosomal RNA", at positions 354 to 796 of the family's 1533-position model. The record is from RNAcentral.